UCCCCUGUGUGUGUUCUCUGAUGGACGGCGAGGCCCGACCUAUAUCCAAAAGUUUUCCCACAUUCGGUACAUUCAUAGGGUUUU
Dasypus novemcinctus (nine-banded armadillo) is the source of this 84-nucleotide microRNA precursor. The record is from Ensembl. NCBI's taxonomy places the organism in Eukaryota, Metazoa, Chordata, Mammalia, Cingulata, Dasypodidae.